This 1031-nucleotide long non-coding RNA is filed under the name Homo sapiens (human). Its description in RNAcentral is "HSALNT0371544". The record is from RNAcentral. Lineage: Eukaryota; Metazoa; Chordata; Mammalia; Primates; Hominidae.
CCCUCCUUGCUUUUUCUUUUCUUUUAUUUUCUUCCUAAAGAUAGAGCUACUCAAAAAAUAACUAGAAAGAGAGAAACCCACUGAUUGGAUUCAAGGUGUGUUUAUGGGUCAAUGUGUGUUUAAGGCUGAUAUUCAAAAAGCAACAUAGUCACUAGAAAAUAGCAAAAGUUCUAUCCUACAGGUUCAUCAGGACAAAGACAAAAAUUCCUUAAAAUUAUCUCAAAAGAGUGAAGAAUAUCAGAAAAUGUUAACAGACUGGAUAAAAAUGUAGAUAUUCAGGAAAGUCUAAAACCAUUCAUAAUAAGCUCAAAAAUUAAAAGAAGAAAUAAACAAUCUCAAUGAACCUAGUAAAGCCACAUCCACAAGCAUAGGCCAAGUCACACAUGACAGAGAAUGACAGAUCUGAUCCCUGUCUACAGCCAGGGAAGUCUGACACCCUCGCCUGGCCCCCUUCUUGAUAGUAACACUGUGGGGGGCAGAGAGGGGUGACUUGGACUAGGAUACGUAAAGUGAAUCCGGAAAAGAGACAACCUGGAUGAUCAAGCAGGAACUGAUUUAAAGGAAUUGAUGUCUGCUGCUAAGGUGGACUUCAUUUCCCAGCCUCCUUUGUGGCUAGGUGUUGUCAUGUGACUGCGUUCUAGCCAGUGGACAAUGAGUAUGAAGCCCUGAGGGCUGAGACCACAUCUGCCUGGUUUUCUGUGGCAGCUGCAGCAUCAACACUGGCUCUUCGAAGAGUAGCAGCUGAUGAACAUUACUCCGGCAAACAAUUUUCUCUGCUAGGAACUGGAUAAAUGCAAAGGAAGGAGGGGAGAGUGUGUCAGACGGGGACCCUGCCCUACUGGAGCACACGCAUCACCACCUGGGUUAGGACGGCCUCACCCGUCCCCUGGACCUUCACCUUAUGUCCCAGAGAGGAGACAUCUGCUAGAGCAAAGAAAAUUCAUUGUCAUAUAAAACAAACAAGAAAACACACACACACAUGUGCACACACACAUACAGAAAGCAAAUAAAACAUUGUUAGAUGAUGUAAA